Molecule: long non-coding RNA, 214 nt
Filed under: Capsicum annuum
Lineage: Eukaryota; Viridiplantae; Streptophyta; Magnoliopsida; Solanales; Solanaceae
Description: long non-coding RNA (CANN_LNC005232)
Source: RNAcentral
UCCAUUACACUUUGGAGCCCAAACCCAUGCCAUAUGUUAGUGUGACUCGGCUCUCACAUCAAAUCGAAGACCAACCAGACGACGCCACAUGUACAAAUGAUGUGAAAAUCUCAUUCAAAUUCAAGAACUAGUUGAAAGUUGCCAAGUAUCAACGUGACACAUUUUGGCCAAUCAUAAGCAACCAGGCCUAUUCUCUGAAGUCUACAACUAUAAA